Molecule: long non-coding RNA, 1232 nt
Organism: Ictalurus punctatus (channel catfish)
Lineage: Eukaryota; Metazoa; Chordata; Actinopteri; Siluriformes; Ictaluridae
Source: Ensembl
GACAGACAAGGAGAGGGAGAGACAAGAAGACAGACAAGGUGAGUGAUGGAGAGGGAGAGUCAAGGAGACAGACAAGGUGAGUGACAGGCAAGGUGAGGAGAGGGAGAGACAUGGUGACAGACAAGGAGAGUGACAGACAAGGAGAGGGAGAGAUAAGGAGCCACACAAGAUGAGUCAUAGACAAGGAGAGGGAGAGACAAGGUGAAUGACAGACAAGGAGAGGGAGAUACAAGGAGACAGACAAGGUGAGUGACAGACAAGGAGAGGGAGCGACAAGGUGAGUGACAGACAAGGAGAGGGAGAGUCAAGAAGACAGACAAGGUGAGUGACAGACAAGGAGAGGGAGCCACACAAGAUGACAAACAGACAGACAAGGAGAGUGACAGACAAGGAGAGGGAGAGAUAAGGAGCCACACAAGAUGAGUCAUAGACAAGGAGAGUGAGAUACAAGGAGACAGACAAGGAGAGUGACAGACAAGGAGAGGGAGAGUCAAGGAGACAGACAAGGUGAGUGACAGACAAGGAGAGGGAGCCACACAAGAUGACAAACAGACAGACAAGGUGAGUGACAGACAAGGUGAGUGACAUCAAGGAGACAGACAAGGAGAGGGAGAGAUAAGGAGACAGACAAGGAGAGGGAGAGACAAGGUGAGUGACAGACAAGGAGAGGGAGUGACAAGGAGACAGACAAGGAGAGGGAGAGACAAGGAGACAGACAAGGAGAGGAACAAACAAGGAGACAGACAAGGUGACUAACAGACAAGGUGAGUGACAGACAAGGAAACAGACAUGGUGACUGACAGACAAGGAGAUAGACAAGGAGAGGCAGAGACAAGGAGACAGGCAAGGAGAGGAACAGACAAGAAGACAGACAAGGAGACGGACAAGGUGAGUGACAGACAAGGAGCGGGAGAGACAAGGAGACAGGCAAGGUGAGUGACAGACAAGCAGAGGGAGAGACAAGGAGACAGACAAGGUGAGUGUCAGACAAGCAGAGGGAGAGACAAGGAGACAGGCAAUGAGAGGAACAGACAAGGAGACAGAUAAGCGGCCUUUGUCGGCAUUUAGUGGCCCUGAUCAGCAUUUGUUGACAUUUACCGGCCCUGAUCAGCAUUUGUCGGCAUUUACCGGCCCUGAUCAGCAUUUGUCGGCAUUGACCGACCGUGUACAGCAUUGGGACAGGAGGGCUGACAAUUUUUUGUCGCAAUCCACCUUGUCUGCCUUUUGCCGAA